Molecule: transfer RNA, 66 nt
Filed under: Clavelina lepadiformis (light-bulb sea squirt)
Lineage: Eukaryota; Metazoa; Chordata; Ascidiacea; Aplousobranchia; Clavelinidae
Description: tRNA-Glu
Source: RNAcentral
AUUUUUUUAGUUUAAAUAAAACAUUUACUUUUCGUGUAAAAAAUACUCUAUAUGAGCUAAAAAAUU